Molecule: transfer RNA, 66 nt
Filed under: Oryzias cf. songkhramensis AN-2019
Lineage: Eukaryota; Metazoa; Chordata; Actinopteri; Beloniformes; Adrianichthyidae
Description: tRNA-Pro
Rfam family: tRNA
About the family: Transfer RNA (tRNA) molecules are approximately 80 nucleotides in length. Their secondary structure includes four short double-helical elements and three loops (D, anti-codon, and T loops).
Source: RNAcentral
GAAUAGUUUAGUUUAGAAUUCUGGCUUUGGGAGUCAGGGGCGGGGGUUAAAGUCCCCCUUCUUUGA